CAUUGUAUUCGCAUAUAAGUAGUAUAAUGAUAUACAUAUCAAAUAAACUGCUCUUGGAGAUUAAUUGUCUGUAUAUAUUAAGUGUAUAUCGCUUACAUGUUUACGUAUUCAUUCAAACAAAGUGUAUAAAACAAAGUAUCUUUAGUUUUUCUCGCGACAUCAUACAUCAUAUUUGCAUAGUAUAAUUGCAAAUAUAAAAGCUUCAGCGAUGGAUCGAAUCGAGCUAAAAUGGUUCAAUUAAUCGACUGGGUGCGUGGCAGGAUGCAGCUGGUUUAGUAACAAAGAGGUAUUUCCAGCCAUCGAGGAGGAUGUAGCGCCUUCCACGAUUUCCUUCGUAUAUUUAGGGGUGUGGGAGGGCUACCAAAUUUAUAUUAAAACUUAUCAAACUAUUACGGUUGAUUAAGAAGAAAGCAUCCAAACGAGCCUAGAGUAGGAUAUCCAUUAUAAGUUAUAAAGAGCUAACAGUACUUCAGAAAUAUAUCUGGGCAUCAAGUUGAUCAUUCCCCAGCCAGAACUGAAUUUGGUAAAAUACCUGCAAAAAGGUGGUGUCUGGUAGCAGCAGCAGUUGGAGGGAUUGAAACGAGGUUGGAAGUUAUUGUGUAAACAGUCAUUAAUGUUAUGCACAAUAAACACCUUCAGUGACACCAAUAUGUAC
Long non-coding RNA from Agrilus planipennis (emerald ash borer), 655 nucleotides. RefSeq lists it as uncharacterized. The transcript has 3 exons. Lineage: Eukaryota; Metazoa; Arthropoda; Insecta; Coleoptera; Buprestidae. The record is from RefSeq and is a predicted model, not a curated record.